This 253-nucleotide ribosomal RNA is filed under the name uncultured bacterium. RNAcentral describes it as "partial 16S ribosomal RNA". It matches the Rfam family "Bacterial small subunit ribosomal RNA", at positions 524 to 776 of the family's 1533-position model. The record is from RNAcentral.
UACAGGGGGUGCAAACGUUGCUCGGAAUUAUUGGGCGUAAAGAGCUCGUAGGCGGUUUGUCGCGUCUGCUGUGAAAACCUAAGGCUCAACCUUGGGCUUGCAGUGGGUACGGGCAGACUAGAGUGCGGUAGGGGUGACUGGAAUUCCUGGUGUAGCGGUGGAAUGCGCAGAUAUCAGGAGGAACACCGAUGGCGAAGGCAGGUCACUGGGCCGCAACUGACGCUGAGGAGCGAAAGCGUGGGUAGCAAACAGG